ACACUUUAAACGGGGAAAUGCAUAGCCAUCACUCGUUGCGAGCGUACUAUGAGACGCCAUGUGAUUUGAAUUCUCGACCUCCAACUCACGACUUGUCUCUUUUUCCGCCGCUAGAGGGGAAGAAUCAGCACCAAAGCUCUCGCACAUUGCUUCGACAACUUUUUUGCUCUCGAUAUGUAUGAUCUUUAACAGAUAAUACACAAGGAGGACCACUACGACCACCAUCACCUCGCUGACGAAGUCGCAAGUGGCAGAAGACGCAUUGUAAAUGACGAAAUCCAAGUCAGCAUACAUCAACACAUCUCCGAAAGCGUUGUACGUUAGGUACGAGAGAGAGCAGGACGUAACGGCGAUGUAGAUGAGUAAGAAAUAGUCUCUCUUGGUCACAACUGGCCCCCAGAUCCUGACUCCGUAUCCUACCAAACGGCGAAGAAUUCCCGCCAACCUGUAGCUUCGGAGGACGACGUACGGGAAGAAGACUGAAAGCACGCUGUACGUUCCGUAGCUGAAUACCAGAGAGCGAGGAGGAAUGGAUGUCAGUGUCUGAAGAGUUUGAUCGGAAAUGGGACUUUCCUCACUGCCUCGGAGCUAUUGAUGGAAAACAUGUUAAAAUUACAAAGCCAUAUAACUCUGGUUCUUACUACUAUAAUUAUAAAGGUACUUUUAGUGUAGUUUUAAUGGCUAUAGUUAAUGCCAAAUGUCAGUUCCUUAUGGUACAUAUAGGAACAAAAGGAAGAGUCUCAGAUGGGGGUGUUUAUGGAAACACAAGAUUUAGUCAGGACUUAACAGAGGAUAAACUACACAUUCCUGCACCAAGCCCUCUACCAGGAACAACUGAUCCUGUUCCUUAUGUUUUAAUAGGGGAUGAUGCGUUCCCUCUGUUGGAGAAUAUCAUGAAGCCAUAUAGUCAUGCCAAUCUUACUAAAGAACAACAGAUAUACAAUUAUAGGGUGUCACGAGCCAGAAAUGUAGUGGAAAGGACCUUUGGCAUGUUGUCAUCUAGGUUUCGUAUUUUACACUCGACAAUCAAUCUAUCCCCAACUAAAGUGUCCAAAAUAAUCCUUGCAUGUUGCUACUUGCAUAAUUAUAUGAGUGGAGAUGGAGAACAAUAUGUAGAAAGUAUCAGUAGAAGGCAGCUCAUUCCUUUUGAACCAACUGUUCAACAGUCUUCAUUGUCAGCCAAGGAUGUACGCAAUAAGUAUUGUCAGUAUUUCAAUGGCCCAGGAUGGAUGCCCUAGCAAGUAUGUAGGAUCACAUGGAAGUUAUAGCUGAACUAGAAUUUAUAUAGCUUGAUUACAUAUUGUUUAGGGUAGCUGUGCAUUAUGUUCUCGUACAUGGUACUCUUGUGCUUUACAAAUCUAGCAAAUUAGCUAAACAUAGGUAAUUAUUUGUGCAUUGUUGUAGACAUACUGACAGUACAUAUAUAAUACAUUCACGAACUCUAAUACACUGGAAGCUACAUUAAUAAUUAUGUAGACCGCAACCAUGAUUUAUUUAUUUUCAUUAUUUGAUGUACUAUCAUUAAGAUAUGUGAUUCUCUACACU
RNA transcript from Macrobrachium nipponense, 1545 nucleotides. It is a transcript of the gene named putative nuclease HARBI1, with no coding region annotated. NCBI's taxonomy places the organism in Eukaryota, Metazoa, Arthropoda, Malacostraca, Decapoda, Palaemonidae. The record is from RefSeq and is a predicted model, not a curated record. The transcript is spliced from 2 exons.